UACAGCCGCACGCCACCACGCCCAGCUAAUUUUUGUAUUUUUAGUAGAGACGGGGUUUCACCAUGUUGCCCAGCACAGCCUGAUUCAGGCCUCGGAGCUGGUCUUGACCCGGCUUCGACAUCAAGUGGAGCAGAGGAGACAUCGGCUACAAGGGUUGGAGGAUGGGGCAGGUGCAGGGCCUGCUGAGAAUGCAGCCUCUUAAGCACCCAUGCACCCACUCUUCCCAGACCUGGGGCGACUCAUGGCGUGCUCACCUCCAGCCGCUGGUGGGGGGUGUCCUGAAGGACAGGAUGCUCUCCCCAGACCUCCCCAGGGUGGUGAAGCUGUGCCCUGGGACCCCAGCUAACCCACUCCUCUCUCUGUGCCUCAAUGUCCCUAUUUGAAAGCGGGGAUGAUCCCAUUCCACCCUGUCCACUCUGGAUGAGAAUUGGCCACCUGAUGGUUAUUUAUACGUCCAGAAGAACAUCA
This 468-nucleotide small RNA is filed under the name Pan troglodytes (chimpanzee). Its description in RNAcentral is "processed transcript". Lineage: Eukaryota; Metazoa; Chordata; Mammalia; Primates; Hominidae. The record is from RNAcentral.